This is a long non-coding RNA of Echinops telfairi (small Madagascar hedgehog), 2120 nucleotides long. RefSeq lists it as uncharacterized. The record is from RefSeq and is a predicted model, not a curated record. The transcript has 5 exons. Lineage: Eukaryota; Metazoa; Chordata; Mammalia; Afrosoricida; Tenrecidae.
CUGUGAUCGUCCCGCAUUCGGCAUCAUUGCAUGUGUUUCGUCAGCCAUGGAGAACUCCGGGAGGGGCGUCUAUGAGACACCCCCAUGUGGUCUGCAGUGAGAAGGGAUCCACAGUGCCGUGUGGGUGCGACGUUAUUGGGAGAAGAAGACCAGACGGAGAGUGGGUAAGGCACAAAGCUCUCAUUGGCUGACGGUCAGAACGAGGUCACCAGCCUCCCCUGCUAAUCCGUCCUUGCCCGGAAGCCCUGCUGAAACCCGAGACCAGCGGUGACAUCAGAAGAGAAACCGGGCGCAGUGCCAUCAGACAGUGCCCGCGAGGAGCAUUGGGGUCAGAGAUCUUAUCCAAACCAGUAUGCCCAGAUUUGGUUCACAGAUGGGGAGGGACUGGGGAUUCCAAUGCUGCCGGGCUGAAGACCCCCCAGAGCGAUAGUGUCCGUCGGCUAGAAGACUGACCACCCAGCACCCUCACUGAGGCCAUCCCCAUGGCCACUGCUCAGUCCAGGCCCUCCAUGCCGCUCUCUGGACAGCUGUGUCUUGGUGCACUCCACUCACCUGUUCUGCAGGGACGUCCAUAAUGCCCGAAGGGAGGAGCGAAUGGAACUGGGCGUCCACUGGGUCUCCAGCCCCUGCCCCAGCAGAGGCCAGCAUUGCCAUCCUUCCUGAUGGGUCUCAUUCUCGGACGGUGACUGUAGGUUUCACUGUAAUUCACAGCCACGUGGUCCCCCUGGCCAGCCGGGCAGCGCCGCCACAUGUGCUGAGACCUGACCUUGCUCCGGCUCCUUGGCCUGUCCUCCUAGAAAGGACCCAGGCAUCUUUGCUGCCAAGGCAUUGGGUCCAGCCUGGCCACAGCCAGUAAAUAGUACCGUGUUCUCUCAGCAGCCGGCUCAGUCAGCCCCACGUCGGGACUGGGGAGCUGUACAAACAAGAUUGCAGAUCUCGGGUGGAGAGGGCUCCCAGCCGAGGAGCCCGGCGGGCGGCCCGUGGCGCUGGGUCAUCAUGUCUGAGCCGACUGCCCAUUUUGUCCCAGCACAAAAAGUGUUCAGAGCGGAGCCUCACGGAACACAGUGCCCUCUGUUCUCGGCCAGCCUGGGCAGAGAGCUCUUUGUGAGCCUGAAUAACUCCCCUUGGGAACUGGGCAGCAGGCUGCCCAGCCUGGGAACAGAUGGUGGCUGGAUUUAACCCCUGACCUUCUGCGGGCAUCGCCGUUGCCCUACAUCAACUCCCGAGUGCCCUCCUGCGGGAUGAGGGACAAGAGCAAGCUAACAGGUGCGUGCCACCCCCCACCCCUUCCCACCUGCAGCCACCUGCAGGACAGAGCAGGUUUGCCACUCCACAGAGCUUCCAAGGCGGCAGGUCUUUGCAGAUCAGACGAUCCAUCAUUCUCCCCUGGAGCAGCAGUGAGCUGGAAGCGCCAACCCUUUUUGAUUGGCUGUUGCGUAGCCAAAUAUUUUACCCACCACCUCACCUCGCCAAGCUUCCUGCCUGGAGAGCCACGUGGGGGUGACUACAGGAAGCUCUUUGACAUGGUAGGCAAACCCACCUUGGUGGGGGUCAAACACCUGCUGAGCGCUAGAGCUGGGGCCGUCCUGGCAGAGGUGCGAGAGGGUGCGUGCUGCGCCCUGGCAGGACAUGCGAAUGAUCCCGUGUUCCCUGAAAAGCAUCCAGUUGUCUGCUCCCGUCUCCCUUCCCAUCAGAAAGCGUCUCACUUUGUUCUCAUGGUGGGAAUGGAGCACAAGCCGAGGAGGGCGGUUGGCCCUUGCUGUGUGUGCAAGAGCCUUAAACCAUGCCCUAGCUGUUGGUAAAGACCAGGGGGGAGACCAGGGUGGUGGGUGCUCCCGGACUCGCGUUGCUUGACCGGGACAGGACGACCGGUGCAGCGUUUACAGUCUCAAGGCUCAGCUGUGUUCUUUAUGAGCAGGUGGUGUGACGUGACACCACCUGUUGUCAGUGUGAGACUUAGGAGUGAAGGGUGGAGCCUACCUGUCAAUCAGGUUGCAGCUUGAUGACCUCGUUUGGAGGCGCUAAGGUGAGAAAUAGCUCGUUGGUGGUGGGACACACGCUCAGUCCCUGGGAGACAUUCUUGUUGACAAGCCACGUGGAAAGAGGUUGAUGUAGCCAGA